RNAcentral lists this ribosomal RNA (502 nucleotides) under uncultured Eubacteriales bacterium. RNAcentral describes it as "bacterial SSU rRNA". It matches the Rfam family "Bacterial small subunit ribosomal RNA", at positions 1 to 507 of the family's 1533-position model. The record is from RNAcentral. Lineage: Bacteria; Bacillati; Bacillota; Clostridia; Eubacteriales.
AGAAGUUUGAAGUCCUGGGCUCGAGAGUGAACGCUGGCGGUGCGCCUAACACAUGCAAGUCGAACGAAGGAUUGUGAAGGAACUUUACGGAGGGAAACGAACAAUGACUGAGUGGCGGACGGUGAGUAACGCGUAGGGAACCUGGCCCUUACACGGGGAGUAACAGAUGGAAACAACUGCUAAUACCGCAUAAGCGCCCAGCCUCGCAUGAGGCAGAGUGAAAACUAAGGUGGUAAGGGAUGGCCCUGCGUCCGAUUAGCUAGUUGGUAUGGUAACGGCAUACCAAGGCGACGAUCGGUAGCCGGCCUGAGAGGGUGGACGGCCACAUUGGGACUGAGACACGGCCCAAACUCCUACGGGAGGCAGCAGUCGGGGAUAUUGCACAAUGGGGAAACCCUGAUGCAGCGACACCGCGUGGGUGAAGAAGCGCUUCGGCGUGUAAAGCCCUAUCAGUGGGAAGAAAAGGACGGUACCCAAAGAAGAAGCACCGGCUAAAUACGUG